GCUGGCAGCGCUUGGGCCCACAGUUGGUUUGUCACGUGGUGACGGCUGCACAGGCUUUCCCCACUCCUGCUUAAGGAAGCUGCUACAGUUUGUAAAUGCAGUGGCGGCCGCCUUCUCCACGGAACAUUCUGGAGAUGAGGGAGGAGACUUCGGAGAGGCAAAGCUGGGCCUUUUUGGCCGAGACCAGACCUGAGCUCCUGUAGGACGGGAAGAAAGUUUUUAGCAUAUGGCAGGCAGCUGUCAAUCGUGUUCGUACGGAAUCACAGGUUGUUUACAUACUGGAGUAGAGUCGUUAGGGUGGCUGGCUUGAAAAGGUAUGAGGUUUUGCUGGAGGCCUUUCCAAAAAGAGUCGGGGAGUUUUGAAACCCCCGAGGCAGCUGAGUCCAGGUUUUGGGGUACAUGUGGAGAACAUGCAAGAUUGUUGCAUAGGUGCACACGUGGCAGUGUGAUGUGCUGCCUUCCUCCCCUUCACCUGUAUCUGGCAUUUCUCCCCAUGCUCUCUCUCCCCAACUCCCACUUCCCGCUGUCCCUCCCCUAUUUCCCCCCGACAGACCCCAGUGUGUGAGGCUCCCCUCCCUGUGUCCAUGUGUUCUUUGUUCAACACCCGCCUAUGAGUGAGAACAUGCAGUGUUUGAUUUUC
Molecule: non-coding RNA, 640 nt
Organism: Callithrix jacchus (white-tufted-ear marmoset)
Lineage: Eukaryota; Metazoa; Chordata; Mammalia; Primates; Cebidae
Source: RefSeq, a predicted model, not a curated record